GGUGUAGGCGGUUUUAUAAGUCAGAAGUGAAAGCCCUGGGCUCAACCCAGGAAGUGCUUUUGAUACUAUUUAACUUGAGUAUGGGAGAGGGAAGCAGAAUUCCUGGUGUAGUGGUGAAAUACGUAGAUAUCAGGAGGAACACCGGAGGCGAAGGCGGCUUCCUGCCCAAUACUGACGCUCAGACCCGAAAGCGUGGGUAGCAAACAGGAUUAGAUACCCUGGUAGUCC
RNAcentral lists this ribosomal RNA (228 nucleotides) under uncultured bacterium. RNAcentral's name for it is "partial 16S ribosomal RNA". It matches the Rfam family "Bacterial small subunit ribosomal RNA", at positions 568 to 796 of the family's 1533-position model. The record is from RNAcentral.